This is a long non-coding RNA of Gallus gallus (chicken), 836 nucleotides long. RefSeq lists it as uncharacterized. Lineage: Eukaryota; Metazoa; Chordata; Aves; Galliformes; Phasianidae. The transcript is spliced from 5 exons. The record is from RefSeq and is a predicted model, not a curated record.
GGGUGUUUGGCUGGGGAUCUCUAUCUGCCUGAGGCCUUCUAAGAACAGUCUUACAAAAACAAUAGAAGAUGCUGCUUAUGGACUGAAAGUCUUUUCUACUAACCAAGAUAAAGAGUCUUUGUACAUUACAUAGAGUAUCUGGUUCUUCAGAAUGUCUGUGAUCAAGUCAGACAUCAUACUUGCUUGGCAGGGGAGACACCAUGAUGUGAGGCUCAUCCCCUGCACUCUAGGUUGGCUCAAAAUUUCUUUCUGGUGUCCUGUUCCACCCUUUGUGCUCACCAUUUGCAUGCUGGGACAAUGCUGCUGGUUUCUCUCUGGGAAAAUGCACAGGCAGCACAGAGUUGCUGCAUCAACUCAACUGAAGUGGAUGCCUGAAGCUGCAAUGUGAACUCUGGCCAUCACACUGUGCAAGAACUCAAAAUCUGACUGAAAAUGUUACCUGCAAACAUGUGCUCACCUGGAGGUAGAAAUGACCCACUGAGGCUAGGAAAAGGGAUAAUGCCAGUGCCUGGUGAGGCAAAGUGAACCCCAGGUGUCCCAGUCCCAGGAGCAGGACAAAAUGAGGGCACUUCUGCGUGGCCAUCAGCAGGCAGCUAACCACAAACUCUGGUUUGCAGCAUGACAAAGCAGAGAAGAACUCUUUACUGGCAACUGCUGACCCACCUUAUCCAGUAAGUUUGUUCACAAGGUGGGCUACUUACACACAGAGGUGGUUGUAGGCAUAACAGCUGCUGAUACCUGCUCUUUUCCUCUAUCCUGGGAUGAGAAAUCUAUGCAAGAUGAGUGCAUUUUGUAUUUCUUUCCUUCCUCCCCUCAAAUAAAAUUUCUGACCUUCA